Molecule: ribosomal RNA, 484 nt
Filed under: uncultured bacterium
Lineage: Bacteria
Description: partial 16S ribosomal RNA
Rfam family: Bacterial small subunit ribosomal RNA
Source: RNAcentral
AUUGAACGCUGGCGGCAGGCCUAACACAUGCCAGUCGAGCGGAUGAAGGGAGCUUGCUCCUGGAUUCAGCGGCGGACGGGUGAGUAAUGCCUAGGAAUCUGCCUGGUAGUGGGGGAUAACGUCCGGAAACGGGCGCUAAUACCGCAUACGUCCUGAGGGAGAAAGUGGGGGAUCUUCGGACCUCACGCUAUCAGAUGAGCCUAGGUCGGAUUAGCUAGUUGGUGGGGUAAAGGCCUACCAAGGCGACGAUCCGUAACUGGUCUGGGAGGAUGAUCAGUCACACUGGAACUGAGACACGGUCCAGACUCCUACGGGAGGCAGCAGUGGGGAAUAUUGGACAAUGGGCGAAAGCCUGAUCCAGCCAUGCCGCGUGUGUGAAGAAGGUCUUCGGAUUGUAAAGCACUUUAAGUUGGGAGGAAGGGCAGUAAGUUAAUACCUUGCUGUUUUGACGUUACCAACAGAAUAAGCACCGGCUAACUUCGUG